GGUUGUGGCUCAGUGGUAGAGCACUUGCUUAGCAUGUGCGAGGUCCUGGGUUUGAUCCUCAGCACCA
This 67-nucleotide transfer RNA is filed under the name Marmota monax (woodchuck). RNAcentral describes it as "tRNA.Ala". Lineage: Eukaryota; Metazoa; Chordata; Mammalia; Rodentia; Sciuridae. The record is from RNAcentral.